Transfer RNA from Camelus ferus (Wild Bactrian camel), 73 nucleotides. It matches the Rfam family "tRNA". From Rfam's summary of the family: Transfer RNA (tRNA) molecules are approximately 80 nucleotides in length. The record is from Rfam. Lineage: Eukaryota; Metazoa; Chordata; Mammalia; Artiodactyla; Camelidae.
GGAGGGUUGAGCUCAGUGGCAGAACGUGUGCUUAGCACGCAUGAGGUCCUGGGUUCAAUCCCCAGUCCCUCCA